UAGACAUGGGAAUGGGUUCCAUAUGGAAGGUGCAAUAUUGAAGCUGCUUGCAUUGAUCUACAAUCGAUCUUGACUUCGGCUAGAAGUAGAAGAAGAUGGAGACGCAAACGGUUUUGACCAACAGAUUGCUAUUCAUUUCAAUCUUGCAAUUGAGGUUUGAGCCUCGAGAAUCAGUCUUGCAAAUCAAUUGCAACGGUGUGAUCAAUAGAUUGUUUAACGAAAAACAACUGAAAAGAUCCAUAGGAGCAGAGAAGGCUAUUUAUUUCUGUUCUUAGUUUUGCUAUUUUUAGACAAGCUGCUUUUGCGGCACUUGUAUGCACACAAAAGGUAUUCGUCUCGAACAUGAAUGUAUGCACAAAACAAGUAUCAUGCAUAUUGGUAUGAUGGGAAUUAUGUCCAUUUGCCUUUA
This is a long non-coding RNA of Hordeum vulgare subsp. vulgare (domesticated barley), 409 nucleotides long. RefSeq lists it as uncharacterized. Lineage: Eukaryota; Viridiplantae; Streptophyta; Magnoliopsida; Poales; Poaceae. The record is from RefSeq and is a predicted model, not a curated record. The transcript is spliced from 2 exons.